Molecule: ribosomal RNA, 397 nt
Filed under: uncultured bacterium
Lineage: Bacteria
Description: bacterial SSU rRNA
Rfam family: Bacterial small subunit ribosomal RNA
Source: RNAcentral
AAUGAACGCUGGCGGCGCGCCUAAUACAUGCAAGUCGAGCGAGAAGACGUAGCAAUACGUUUGUAAAGCGGCGAACGGGCGAGGAAUACAUGGGUAACCUACCCUCGAGUGGGGAAUAACUAGCCGAAAGGUUAGCUAAUACCGCGUACGCUCCUUGGACUUCGGUUCAGGGAGGAAAGCGAUACCGUGGGUAUCGCGCUCUUGGUUGGGCUCAUGUCCUAUCAGCUUGUUGGUGAGGAACGGCUCACCAAGGCUUCGACGGGUAGCUGGUCUGAGAGGACGAUCAGCCACACUGGCACUGCGACACGGGCCAGACUCCUACGGGAGGCAGCAGUAAGGAAUAUUGCGCAAUGGGCGAAAGCCUGACGCAGCGACGCCGCGUGGGGGAUGAAGGUCU